UCGAGGGGCAUCGGGAGGGAAGCUUGCUUUCCUUGCCGGCGACCGGCGCACGGGUGAGUAACACGUAUGCAACCUGCCCUCUUCAGGGGGACAACCUUCCGAAAGGGAGGCUAAUCCCGCGUAUAUCGGUUUCGGGCAUCCGAGAUCGAGGAAAGAUUCAUCGGAAGAGGAUGGGCAUGCGGCGCAUUAGCUAGACGGCGGGGUAACGGCCCACCGUGGCGACGAUGCGUAGGGGUUCUGAGAGGAAGGUCCCCCACACUGGUACUGAGACACGGACCAGACUCCUACGGGAGGCAGCAGUGAGGAAUAUUGGUCAAUGGGAGAGAUCCUGAACCAGCCAAGCCGCGUGAGGGAAGACGGCCCUAUGGGUUGUAAACCUCUUUUGUCGGAGAACAAAACCCGGGACGAGUCCCGGACUGCGUGUAUCCGAAGAAAAAGCAUCGGCUAACUCCGUGCCAGCAGCCGCGGUAAUACGGAGGAUGCGAGCGUUAUCCGGAUUUAUUGGGUUUAAAGGGUGCGUAGGCGGUCCGUUAAGUCAGCGGUAAAAUUGCGGGGCUCAACCCCGUCGAGCCGUUGAAACUGGCAGACUUGAGUUGGCGAGAAGUACGCGGAAUGCGCGGUGUAGCGGUGAAAUGCAUAGAUAUCGCGCAGAACUCCGAUUGCGAAGGCAGCGUACCGGCGCCAGACUGACGCUGAGGCACGAAAGCGUGGGGAUCGAACAGGAUUAGAUACCCUGGUAGUCCGCGCGGUAAACGAUGGAUGCCCGCUGUCGGCGAUAUACAGUCGGCGGCCAAGCGAAAGCGUUAAGCAUCCCA
RNAcentral lists this ribosomal RNA (815 nucleotides) under uncultured bacterium. Its description in RNAcentral is "bacterial SSU rRNA". It matches the Rfam family "Bacterial small subunit ribosomal RNA", at positions 62 to 871 of the family's 1533-position model. The record is from RNAcentral.